RNAcentral lists this ribosomal RNA (253 nucleotides) under uncultured bacterium. Its description in RNAcentral is "partial 16S ribosomal RNA". It matches the Rfam family "Bacterial small subunit ribosomal RNA", at positions 524 to 776 of the family's 1533-position model. The record is from RNAcentral.
UACGGAGGGUGCAAACGUUGCUCGGAAUCAUUGGGCGUAAAGCGCACGUAGGCGGCUCGUUAAGUCGGAUGUGAAAUCCCCAGGCUUAACCUGGGAAUUGCAUCCGAUACUGGAUGGCUUGAAUCCGGGAGAGGGAUGCGGAAUUCCAGGUGUAGCAGUGAAAUGCGUAGAUAUCUGGAGGAACACCGGUGGCGAAGGCGGCAUCCUGGACCGGCAUUGACGCUGAGGAGCGAAAGCCAGGGGAGCAAACGGG